AGGAUUAUAGUUAAUUAUAACAUUUGUUUUGCAUUCAAAAAGUAUCCUUCUGGGUUAAUCUUA
RNAcentral lists this transfer RNA (63 nucleotides) under Metidiocerus impressifrons. RNAcentral's name for it is "tRNA-Ala". The record is from RNAcentral. RNAcentral also lists the same sequence under 1 other name. Lineage: Eukaryota; Metazoa; Arthropoda; Insecta; Hemiptera; Cicadellidae.